RNAcentral lists this ribosomal RNA (831 nucleotides) under uncultured candidate division GN03 bacterium. RNAcentral describes it as "bacterial SSU rRNA". It matches the Rfam family "Bacterial small subunit ribosomal RNA", at positions 473 to 1306 of the family's 1533-position model. The record is from RNAcentral.
AGGUACCUCCAAAGGAAGCUCCGGCUAACUCCGUGCCAGCAGCCGCGGUAAUACGGAGGGAGCGAACGUUGUUCGGAUUUACUGGGUGUAAAGGGUGCGUAGGCGGCUACGUGUGUCAGAGGUGAAAGCUCACGGCUCAACCGUGGAACUGCCUUUGAAACUGCGUGGCUUGAGUCCGAGAGAGGAUGAUGGAAUUCCUGGUGUAACGGUGAAAUGUGCAGAUAUCAGGAAGGACACCGGUGGCGAAGGCGGUCAUCUGGCUCGGUACUGACGCUCAGGCACGAAAGCUAGGGUAUCGAACGGGAUUAGAUACCCCGGUAGUCCUAGCCGUAAACGAUGUCCACUAGGUGUCGGAGGUCCUACCCCUUCGGUGCCGCAGCUAACGCAUUAAGUGGACCACCUGGGGAGUACGCUCGCAAGGGUGAAACUCAAAGGAAUUGACGGGGGCCCGCACAAGCGGUGGAACAUGUGGUUUAAUUCGAUGCAACGCGAAGAACCUUACCUGGGCUUGACAUGCAGGGGACAGGUGUAGAGAUACACCCUUCUUCGGACUCCUGUACAGGUGCUGCAUGGCUGUCGUCAGCUCGUGUCGUGAAAUGUUGGGUUAAGUCCCGCAACGAGCGCAACCCUUGUCCUUAGUUGCCAGCACGUAACGGUGGGAACUCUAGGGAGACUGCCGGUGACAAACCGGAGGAAGGUGGGGACGACGUCAAGUCAUCAUGGCCCUUACGUCCAGGGCUACACACGUGCUACAAUGGCGUGUACAGAGGGCAGCGAACCCGCGAGGGGGAGCCAAUCCCGUAAAGCACGCCUCAGUUCGGAUCGCAGUCU